UACGAAGGGGGCUAGCGUUGCUCGGAAUUACUGGGCAUAAAGGGUGCGUAGGCGGCUUGUUAAGUCAGGGGUGAAAGUUUUCGGCCCAACCGGAAAAUUGCCUUUGAUACUGGCGAGCUGGAGUGCGUGAGGGGUGACCGGAACGAGUGGUGUAGCGGUGAAAUGCGUAGAUAUCACUCGGAAGGCCAACGGCGAAGGCAGGUCACUGGUGCGCAACUGACGCUGAGGCACGAAAGCGUGGGGAGCAAACAGG
RNAcentral lists this ribosomal RNA (253 nucleotides) under uncultured bacterium. RNAcentral describes it as "partial 16S ribosomal RNA". It matches the Rfam family "Bacterial small subunit ribosomal RNA", at positions 524 to 776 of the family's 1533-position model. The record is from RNAcentral.